This 72-nucleotide transfer RNA is filed under the name Bos taurus (domestic cattle). It matches the Rfam family "tRNA". Rfam says of the family: Transfer RNA (tRNA) molecules are approximately 80 nucleotides in length. The record is from Rfam by way of RNAcentral. Lineage: Eukaryota; Metazoa; Chordata; Mammalia; Artiodactyla; Bovidae.
UCCCUGAUACUCCAGUGCUUAGGAAUCUGCCUGCUGAUGCAGGGGGCACAGGUUCGAUCCCUGGUCAGGGAA